UCCCGGGUUCACGCCAUUCUCCUGCCUCAGUCUCCCGAGUAGCUGGGACUACAGGCGCCCACCACCGUGCCCAGCUAAUUUUUUGUAUUUUCAGUAGAGACGGGGUUUCACCGUGUUAGCCAGGAUGGUCUCGAUCUCCUGACCUCGUCAUCCUCCCGCCUCGGCGUGAGCCACCGCGCCUGGCACCUUAACUAGUUUCUAAACUCCAGAAAUAUUAGUGUUCUCAGGCUUUCAGAAGAGAGCCAUGGUCUAACACGAGGUGCUUGGUAACUGCAUGGUCAUGUGGUCGGCUUGCUGUUUUCGCCUGGUGACUUCCUCACCUGUGCGGGGUCUGCCCGUUUAACGCACCUGCAACAUGCAUUCCUGGACAGUGGGUGGCGCCAUGGAACCAUCUGCCGUUCUCACUGCACCCCUUCAUUUGUGGCAGCCUUAGCUUUUAGUGGAUGAGGGGAGUCUAUUGGUUGAUAAAAAAGACUGUGAGACUUUUAAAGCAUAUCCAUCGACAGUGAUAACGAGGAGACGUAAGCAGGAAAGGAGGCAAAAUGAUCCACUAUGCCAGUGGUCAGGAAACGUGUCUCAGGAGGUGGCACAGAAACUGCCAAGUCCUUGGCAUGCCCCUGGCUGGGGCCUGCGUGGGCCAGGCUGAGAGAGCUGUGGACUGAAGAGAAGCAGGUGUUAGACGUGCAGACAGUUCCCGGGCAGGAGCUGGAGGCC
RNAcentral lists this long non-coding RNA (714 nucleotides) under Homo sapiens (human). RNAcentral describes it as "HSALNT0184306". Lineage: Eukaryota; Metazoa; Chordata; Mammalia; Primates; Hominidae. The record is from RNAcentral.